CCUACGGGUGGCAGCAGUGGGGAAUAUUGGGCAAUGGGCGCAAGCCUGACCCAGCAACGCCGCGUGAAGGAAGAAGGCUUUCGGGUUGUACACUUCUUUUCUCAGGGACGAAGAAAGUGACGGUACCUGAGGAAUAAGCCACGGCUAACUACGUGCCAGCAGCCGAGGUAAUACGUAGGUGGCAAGCGUUAGCCGGAUUUACUGUGUGUAAAGGGCGUGUAGGCGGGGAAGCAAGUCAGAUGUGAAAACCACGGGCUCAACCUGUGGCCUGCAUUUGAAACUGUUUUUCUUGAGUACUGGGGAGGCAGACGGAAUUCCUAGUGUAGCGGUGAAAUGCGUAGAUAUUAGGAGGAACACCAGUGGCGAAGGCGGUCUGCUGGACAGCAACUGACGCUGAGGCGCGAAAGCGUGGGGAGCAAACAGGAUUAGAGACCCGGGUAGUC
Molecule: ribosomal RNA, 443 nt
Filed under: uncultured bacterium
Lineage: Bacteria
Description: partial 16S ribosomal RNA
Rfam family: Bacterial small subunit ribosomal RNA
Source: RNAcentral